CAUAUAAUGGGUUUUGCAGUUGGAUUCUUUAUUCUUCUUUUAGAGACUUGGAGGUCAAAUGUAGAGAUUUUGGAUGUUUGAUUGGGCCAACAUACCAUUCAUCUAUGUAACACAAUUUCCUAAAGGCCUGCUGACAUUAACCAUCCUAGAUUCCAGAUGAAUGCAUUUCUCUUCUCUUCUCUACAGUUUUGCCUAAGAGACAUUGGAAGACAAAUGUUUCUGUCACAGCCAGUAGUGGGACUGUCUCAACUCGUUUUCCUGUGAUGCCUGAAGACUCAUCUUGGAGGAGGCUGAGCAUUGAAGGAAGUGGGGCAGAAGUGCUGGGCAGCACAGGGACAGAGCUCAGGGCCAUCACCACCACGUGUUCAGGUUGACCAGAAUUACUGUAUUCCUGCCAGAUUCAGUUUGUGCCUGCUGCUCCUCAUUCAGCAUUUGAUUUCCUGAAGACACCAUGGCAAAGUCACUGUAUGAAAUAGGAAAUUUAGAACAGAGACAAGUAAGUUUUGCUCUAUUAUUUGAUGGGUCAUUGAUUUUGAUUAUAAUUUAACAGCAAA
RNAcentral lists this long non-coding RNA (554 nucleotides) under Junco hyemalis (dark-eyed junco). RNAcentral describes it as "lncRNA (ENSJHYG00000006344.1)". Lineage: Eukaryota; Metazoa; Chordata; Aves; Passeriformes; Passerellidae. The record is from RNAcentral.